AAUGAAGUGCCUGAUUAAAGGAUUAUCUUGAUAGGAUAAAACAAGUAAAUAUUUUACCUUCAUUA
Molecule: transfer RNA, 65 nt
Filed under: Balmes birmanus
Lineage: Eukaryota; Metazoa; Arthropoda; Insecta; Neuroptera; Psychopsidae
Description: tRNA-Ile
Source: RNAcentral